AUUGAGGGGGACAAACACUGUGUCUUCUUCCAAGAAAAGACUCUUUCUUCACUUUCUGGCAGAAGAGAGGCCGUGAUGGAUGAUCAGGUGGACCAAAGCUGAGUAGCACUAUCAGCCCAUGUACUGGGUCACAGUACUCAGUGCAGGGAGCCAGGCCCAAUCCUGUGGGACAGGAGCUGCGAUUGUGAAAUGGAUGCAGCCUUCUUGGAUGUGUUAGCCACCAGCUUCCAAAAUGAGACAGCCCAGCAAAGAAGCAGAUGGUUAAUGUAUGUGGAUCUUGGGCUAAGAGUGGAAGGACUGUGAGAUUCUGCCCAAAAGCAGGAGUUGGGAAGGGAUGGCUUUUACAAUCACUCCCUUGGCUCACAUGCCACCAAGAGAUCCUUCUGCACUAGAAAGCAUGUCAUGUGGCUGAUGAAACUGGUUUUGCAUCUGCUUUGCACAAAUCAGCCACCACAGGGAUCACCUGGAUCAGGAACUGGCCAGCAACAGUGACUGAAGAACCACUGAACUGGAGGAGGGGUCAUGUCUUGGAGUAAAGAUUAUAAAGAGCAGGUGGACUAAAAAGCCCAAGAACAUUCUUUGACUGGAAAAGGAAGAUUCCCAAUAAGAGACACAGCAGCAGAUUCCAGAAUUAGCAGACUAUUGAAGGGGAUUCUUUGAAGACAGAGGAAACACCACAGUUCUAAAAAGGCCAUUACUGGUCUUUAAUCUGGAAUGCAUCUUCAAAUGCCACUCCUCUGCAUCACAGGAGAGGUAAUUUAGCUGGGGCAUCCAGCCUACAAAGUUUAAUAGGAGUAUCUGAAUCCCAAAACACAACUCCUAAAAGUGAUGGCAAUUCCGAGCUCAGCUGAGGCCCAUACCUGCUGUUGCUGAAUAUAAAUAUAUGUUUUUAGGUCGCUGUAUGAGCAUAUUUGGAAAGAUCAUUUUGAAGAUAUUCUCUUUCUACAAGACAGACUUGAUUUACACCCUUCCCACCGUUCCCUGAAACUGCUUUUCAAGCAUCAAGAUGGCAACAUGCAGAUCCAGGUUGAUGAAUGAGGUCCUGGCCCCAUCGGGCCCUCCCUUUGAGAAGCACAAAGAAAUGUCACUUUGUGUGCAGUACAAGUGAGAUCAGCUGUUGGAAGGACAUACCGUUCACUCUGAGGAUUCCGUCCCUAUGGUCCUGGACUCUGUGAAGACAUGACGAUGGGGUCAUAUGUCCCCACACCAAUGUGCUGAGGUAAAGAUUCAAAACUAAUUCAGCCUUCAGUUAUGUUAGAGCACAAGGAUCACAGAAAAACUAUCUGUUGGAAAAGCACCCACUAAAUAAUGGUCUCAGGAUCAAUCAUGCCCUACACCAACGGAGCUGCAGCUCUAUAAUUCAGAAGCAGCAGGAGAGGAAAAGCAUCUACGAGUGUCACAGAAGCAGAGUGCCAUCACAUGGGGACCUGCAACUUCUCUGAGGGAAGAAUUGCUGUGUGUGUUGUGCAUGCAGGGAAAAGCUGUAACUGCUGUCUCCCCACUUCCUAUGCAAUAAUGCUAAGAAAAUGAUUCUCCUUCCAAGACCUCUACCAUGGAUUUGUUCAUGGGAUAAAUUGAUUGGGAUCCCCUCACGGGAUUGCUGAGAGGCUUAACUAGUUAAUUAACUAAACUUAAGGGCUGAUACAGUAGGUACAAAUUGUUUCACUGCAGGCUUUCUCUGCUCUGCCUGAUGGUGCAUUCACCUAAGGGAACAGAGACAGUCCUCCCUUUGGCUGUGUCCAGACUCAGGGGGUUUUUCGA
Molecule: non-coding RNA, 1761 nt
Organism: Pelodiscus sinensis (Chinese soft-shelled turtle)
Lineage: Eukaryota; Metazoa; Chordata; Testudines; Trionychidae
Source: RefSeq, a predicted model, not a curated record